This 64-nucleotide transfer RNA is filed under the name Trigonopterus sp. AH-2016. RNAcentral's name for it is "tRNA-Gly". The record is from RNAcentral. Lineage: Eukaryota; Metazoa; Arthropoda; Insecta; Coleoptera; Curculionidae.
AUUUGUAUAAUAUAAUAAUAUUAUAUUUGACUUCCAAUCAAAAAAUCUAAUUUUAGUACAAAUA